CAUUAAAGAAUCGCCCCGUUUUUUGAAAUGGGUUCUAUUCCCAAACCGUGUAUACAUACCUUUGUUGCUUUGGCAGGCCGCCUUUUAGGCGUCGGCUCCGGCUGACUGCGCCUGCCAGAGGACCCAAACUCUUUUGUUUAGUGAUGUCUGAGUACUAUAUAAUAGUUAAAACUUUCAACAACGGAUCUCUUGGUUCUGGCAUCGAUGAAGAACGCAGCGAAAUGCGAUAAGUAAUGUGAAUUGCAGAAUUCAGUGAAUCAUCGAAUCCUUGAACGCACAUUGCGCCCCUUGGUAUUCCGAGGGGCAUGCCUGUUCGAGCGUCAUUAUAACCACUCAAGCCUCGGCUUGUCUUGGGGUUCGCGGUUUCGCGGCCCUUAAAAUCAGUGGCGGUGCCGUCUGGCUCUAAGUGUAGUAAUUCUCUCACUAUAGGGUCCAGGUGACCACCUGCCAUAACCCCAUUCUUUACGGUUG
RNAcentral lists this ribosomal RNA (471 nucleotides) under uncultured fungus. RNAcentral's name for it is "eukaryotic LSU rRNA". The stretch from base 170 to 323 matches the Rfam family "5.8S ribosomal RNA". Lineage: Eukaryota; Fungi. The record is from RNAcentral.